GGUUCAGAACGUCGUGAGACAGUUUGGUCCAUAUCCGGUGUAAGCGUUAGAGUAUUGAGAAGAGCCUUCCUUUGUACGAGAGGACCGGGAAGGACAAACCUCUGGUGUACCAGUUCUUUAAAAGGGAAACGCUGGGUAGCCAUGUUUGGUUCGGAUAACCGCUGAAAGCAUCUAAGUGGGAAGCCAACUUCAAGAUGAGUACUCUCUUUAUAAGACCACAGCAAGACUAGCUGUUUGAUAGGUAUCAAGUGUAAGCCGUGUAAGCGGUGUAGCUGAGAUAUACUAACAGGUCGAACGAGUU
This 301-nucleotide ribosomal RNA is filed under the name Chloropicon mariensis. Its description in RNAcentral is "partial Bacterial large subunit ribosomal RNA". It matches the Rfam family "Bacterial large subunit ribosomal RNA", at positions 2608 to 2925 of the family's 2925-position model. The record is from RNAcentral. Lineage: Eukaryota; Viridiplantae; Chlorophyta; Chloropicophyceae; Chloropicales; Chloropicaceae.